Molecule: ribosomal RNA, 273 nt
Filed under: uncultured bacterium
Lineage: Bacteria
Description: partial 16S ribosomal RNA
Rfam family: Bacterial small subunit ribosomal RNA
Source: RNAcentral
GACAUCGGUGGCGAGCGGGUUUCGGAAUUACUGGGCUUAAAGGGCGAGUAGGCGGUGGAGCAAGUCUGAUGUGGAAUCCUACGGCUUAACCGUAGAACUGCAUUAGAAACUGUUUUACUUGAGUCAGUGAGGGGAGGGCGGAAUUCCCGGUGUAGCGGUGAAAUGCGUAGAUAUCGGGAGGAAGGCCGGUGGCGAAGGCGGCCCUCUGGUACUGUACUGACGCUGAGGCGCGAAAGCGUGGGGAGAACACAGGAGGAGAUACCCCCGUAGUCC